CUGAGCUUGGAGGUCUCUUCCAACCUGGUUGAUGCUGUCAUUCUAAACCCAUACCAGACAAGGUGCUCCUGUGUCAUGAAAUGCCAAUCUGAACCCAGACCUGGGACUAGCUGGAAAUUACAUCCCACUUCCAGCCCCUCUUUCCCAUCCAUCCUUCCCAAACUUUGUACUUCUGUGUGAGCUCCACGCCAGAAAGUUCCACGGAUCAGUUCCAUUUCCUCCCAGGUCCCCUCGACCCUGAGUUUUGUUUGGGGAAUGCUCCUCCUUUCACACUGCAGACAGAAACCCUCUCCUGUUUCCCCUCCUUUGCUGCACGGGAUUUAGCUGAUUGAUUUGCCGGUGUGCCUCAUUACGCAGCCGGGAGCUUCAAUCCUGCCUUGAUAACACCCAGCUGGUACCCAAGGCUGAUCUGUUUGGGUCUUUCUCAGCGUGGCAGGAUGGGAGGAGAUGCAAAGCCAUGGCAGACACGGUCACACCUUUCUCUUCUGCUGCUCGCCCUGCUCUCGGAUUGCAGUUUCUGUUUGCAGACACCAGCCCGGCGUAAAAACCUGCUGGACUUGCCUGAAGGAUCUCCAUGGCACUGACUCCCUUCAGACACGAAAGAGAUCAUUUCAUCCAGAGAGUGGAGUCCUUCAGGCUUGGUUUUCUGCUCUGCUGGUGGCUGUGGCCAAGCUGUAUACAAUUCCCCAAGACCCUUAUGCAAACAUGGAACAAAGAGGCCAAGCUAUUAAUAUGUCAGAGGCAAUGGGAGAACCCCAGGAUGUGUACUGUGAGCAG
Pogoniulus pusillus (Red-fronted tinkerbird) is the source of this 777-nucleotide long non-coding RNA. RefSeq lists it as uncharacterized. Lineage: Eukaryota; Metazoa; Chordata; Aves; Piciformes; Lybiidae. The record is from RefSeq and is a predicted model, not a curated record. The transcript has 3 exons.